CACGUAGGAGGCGAGCGUUGUCCGGAAUCAUUGGGCGUAAAGAGCGCGCAGGCGGCCCGGCAAGUCGGGUGUGAAAUCCCGGGGCUCAACCCCGGGACUGCAUUCGAUACUGUCGGGCUAGAGGUAGGUAGGGGAGAUCGGAAUUCCUGGUGUAGCGGUGAAAUGCGCAGAUAUCAGGAGGAACACCGGUGGCGAAGGCGGAUCUCUGGGCCUUACCUGACGCUCAGGCGCGAAAGCUAGGGGAGCGAACAGG
RNAcentral lists this ribosomal RNA (253 nucleotides) under uncultured bacterium. RNAcentral describes it as "partial 16S ribosomal RNA". It matches the Rfam family "Bacterial small subunit ribosomal RNA", at positions 524 to 776 of the family's 1533-position model. The record is from RNAcentral.